AUGCUCGCCGCGCCAGGCACGUUCACAGGAACGCAGCCCCCAAGUCACCGGGUGGAUCCUUUACACGUCUGUGUCAACUCUCCAAGUGCGUCCCCGAGAUUCGGAGCGUCCCUUCCCUGGUCCCGGACCGCUGGGCCCGCCGCGGGCGUCCCUCUGAGGGGUCGCGGCAGCCGGCGCCAGCCAAACCCUGCUCCGCUCCCCCGGCCACUGCGCCGUCGUCUCCCCAAACUGCCCCGAAGCCUCGCUCCCGCCUGCCGCGGCAGUUGCGGCGUCGGGCUGGCUGGCGCCCCGCGACGAAAAGGCCAUCAAGUCUCGCUGCAUUUCUGCCACUUGCAGCGCCCGCGCCGCCGGGGUGGCUGCGCGCAGUUCCCGCGCUCGGGGCGCCCCGCAGGCCGUGGAGGGCGGCUGCUCCCCGGCCCGCGCAGCGGCGCGGGGCGGUUUCUCGGAAACUUUCCUCCCUCAUCAUCUCUCCUCUGGGUCGAGAAAGAAGCGGAAGCCCCUACUUCUCUCCAGUCAGACCCUCUACACCAAGCACCCUGCCAUAUUCCAGACCGGUGGGGGGAUCUGAGCGAAGGGGAGAACCUUUCCGAAUCUGCGGACCCUCCGGGGCAGCAGCCCGCUCCCACCCCCACCCUGGGCUCCAAUGAUCCGCAGCCCCGCGCAUUUCGAAAGGCUUCCCGGCUCGCCGGCGGCCAAGGAGGACCGCAGCGACGCGCAGGAGGGGCCGAGCGCCACAGCCGCUUGCGGGGUCGCUUCCUCCUUUACAGCCGUUUUGCAAAAUCCAGCUCCCCCCCACCCCCACCCCCCAUCGCAUCCCCAGCUGUCCAACGCGUCGGACUGGGGCAGGGAAGAAAUAGGAAAACGUGGGGCCAGGGGCAUGACUGGGGGACAGAAGGGACCGUGGAAAUCCACAGGAUGGGAGCGGGGCGCGCGGCCUUUCAGGCCCCGGUGCGCCCACCGCCCCGGCCGCGCCAGGCGACCUUUCCCGGCGGCCGGGAAAGGCCGUCUUCGCCAUUUCAUCUUCAUCAUUGUGAGCGUAACACUUGCUCUUCAUAA
This 1056-nucleotide long non-coding RNA is filed under the name Felis catus (domestic cat). Its description in RNAcentral is "lncRNA (ENSFCAG00000047721.1)". The record is from RNAcentral. Lineage: Eukaryota; Metazoa; Chordata; Mammalia; Carnivora; Felidae.